GGUGGUCACGGUGGGCCCACCAAACUGGCUAGAGUUAGGAGUAGGGUUAGGAUUAGGGGUGGGGUUAGGGCUCGGGAUAGGAUUAGUAUUAGAAUUAGAAUUAGGAAUAGGAUUUGGGUUAGGGCUCAGGUUAGAGAUUGAAUUUUCAGUUCUGGGGGCCACUCUGAAGUUCUCUGGAGCUUCAUCUCCCUUCACUGUCAGCCCCAAACUUAUUCCCUCCUUUGCCUCCAUUUCUCAUAGAUCACUUAAAACCCCUAAAACCCUAAA
Molecule: unclassified non-coding RNA, 267 nt
Filed under: Hevea brasiliensis (rubber tree)
Lineage: Eukaryota; Viridiplantae; Streptophyta; Magnoliopsida; Malpighiales; Euphorbiaceae
Source: RNAcentral